RNAcentral lists this transfer RNA (66 nucleotides) under Cellana nigrlineata. RNAcentral describes it as "tRNA-Val". Lineage: Eukaryota; Metazoa; Mollusca; Gastropoda; Nacellidae. The record is from RNAcentral.
UAAAGCAUAGUAUAACCCAUUACAUUUCACUUACACUGAUAUAAUUUCUAUAUAAGAAUGCUUUAA